AAGCACAUAGUGUCUCAUUAGGUAGAGCCAAGAGGAAAAGAUUCCUAAGUUAUUCUAACUAUAAGUCUACGAAUACUAUGGUUAGUGCAAUUACACUUAGCAAUCAUUGUUAAGACCACUAUUAUAUAUAUAUAUAAGGAACAUCACUCUAGGGAGAUCUAGGAUCGUAACAAAAUAACCCCACGACAGCAUUCUACUAGUCCUACAUACGGGGAGUGGACUACAUAGGACUCAACGAGAUUAUUGUCACACCCAUGAUCUAUCACAUGGCCUGGCAUAUAAAGGUGCU
RNAcentral lists this long non-coding RNA (289 nucleotides) under Sorghum bicolor (sorghum). RNAcentral's name for it is "long non-coding RNA (SBIC_LNC010043)". Lineage: Eukaryota; Viridiplantae; Streptophyta; Magnoliopsida; Poales; Poaceae. The record is from RNAcentral.